This 862-nucleotide transfer RNA is filed under the name uncultured Bartonella sp. Its description in RNAcentral is "partial 16S-23S ribosomal RNA intergenic spacer". The stretch from base 121 to 194 matches the Rfam family "tRNA". Lineage: Bacteria; Pseudomonadati; Pseudomonadota; Alphaproteobacteria; Hyphomicrobiales; Bartonellaceae. The record is from RNAcentral.
CAAGCCUUCUGGCGAUCUAGACAAAACAAGUCCACCGUGGGCUUUGAAAAACGCUUUCCUUGAUAAAAUUUAAGCGUUUUAUAAGAGGAUGCCGGGGAAGGUUUUCCGGUUUAUCCCGGAGGGCUUGUAGCUCAGUUGGUUAGAGCGCGCGCUUGAUAAGCGUGAGGUCGGAGGUUCAAGUCCUCCCAGGCCCACCAGUUUAUCCAUUACUUUCAUAAGUGCUUUUAAAAAAUAAGUACUUCUAAAAAGAUUGCUUCUAAAAAGCUUAUCAAAAUUGGCAGGCUUAUUGCUUUUGUGUGAGUAAUCCAAAGUUAAAGCAAAUUAAUGGCAAAAAAACAGUUCAAAUGCUAAAUACUAAGGAGUCAAAAUUCCUUGCAAAGUGAUUUUUACAGCGUCCAUUUGGUUGAUAUAAAUUCCAAAUGCUCAUAGACGUCAAUGCCUAUAUGAAACUAUCGGUUCAAUCAUAUCGCUUUGAGUUAUAUAGAUUUUGUAAUCCCUCUUUUGAUCGUUUUAAACGCUUUAUCCUGAUUUAGGGGCCGUAGCUCAGCUGGGAGAGCACCUGCUUUGCAAGCAGGGGGUCGUCGGUUCGAUCCCGUCCGGCUCCACCAUAAGGUCAUCAUCAUUGUUGUAAGAACAGUUUUGUAAAAGGUUUGCGAACCUUUUGCUUGUUCUAUUGAAAUUGUGAAGAGAAGAUAUAUUCAGACAUGUUCCUUUUGAAAGGUUUGUUCUGGAAGGUGAGGUUUUUCUGUGCAGAAAUGUUUCAGAAAAAGCUUUGUCAUCAGAAAGGGCUAUUGUCUAACAGCUUAGAUAAAAAACAAAUCUGAAAAGAAUCUUGUGUCGCAGGGAAGCUCAAGCCCUUGCU